Macrobrachium nipponense is the source of this 276-nucleotide long non-coding RNA. RefSeq lists it as uncharacterized. Lineage: Eukaryota; Metazoa; Arthropoda; Malacostraca; Decapoda; Palaemonidae. The transcript is spliced from 3 exons. The record is from RefSeq and is a predicted model, not a curated record.
GUUUGAUGGUGAGCAGACGUGCCAGCCCCUCUCUUCAGUGCAUCCCUAUUUUCUGAGGAACCACUCGGGUCAAGGACGACCCACAUCUUAGUAGAAAGUUGCCCAUCUAGAGACGACCACAAGACGAACACAGCAUGUUUGCGAUGCAACGGGCCGGUCUGCCUACAGCAUCAAACUGUCUUGUGUCCGAAGUGUGUGCCUCGUAUGUAGGUAGCAAAUUUGGCCGUCGCACUUGUCGUGGGUGGGGCCCCAUUUACUGUACAUAUCCAUUAGAUA